Molecule: ribosomal RNA, 433 nt
Filed under: uncultured bacterium
Lineage: Bacteria
Description: partial 16S ribosomal RNA
Rfam family: Bacterial small subunit ribosomal RNA
Source: RNAcentral
AACGAACGCUGGCGGCAUGCCUAACACAUGCAAGUCGAACGAGACCUUCGGGUCUAGUGGCGCACGGGUGCGUAACGCGUGGGAACCUGCCCUUAGGUUCGGAAUAACUCCCCGAAAGGGGUGCUAAUACCGGAUAAUUUCUUCGGACCAAAGAUUUAUCGCCUUUGGAUGGGCCCGCGUUUGAUUAGAUUGUUAGUAGGGUAAAAGCCUACCAAGGCUACGAUACAUAGCUGGUAUGAGAGGAUGAUCAGCCACACUGGGACUGAGACACGGCCGAGACUACUACGGGAGGAAGCAGAGGGGAAUAUAGGAAAAUGGGGGAAAGGAUGAAGCAGCAAUGCCGGGAGAGUGAUGAAGGCCUUAGGGUAGUAAAGCACUUUUAAACGGGAUGAUAAUGACAGUACCGGGAGAAUAAGCACCGGCUAACUCCGUG